GCACAAGCGGUGGAUGAUGUGGUUUAAUUCGAUACAACGCGAAAAACCUUACCCACCUUUGACAUGUACGGAACCCUUUAGAGAUAGAGGGGUGCUCGAAAGAGAGCCGUAACACAGGUGCUGCAUGGCUGUCGUCAGCUCGUGUCGUGAGAUGUUGGGUUAAGUCCCGCAACGAGCGCAACCCUUGUCAUUAGUUGCUACAUUCAGUUUGGGCACUCUAAUGAGACUGCCGGUGACAAGCCGGAGGAAGGUGGGGAUGACGUCAAGUCCUCAUGGCCCUUAUAGGUGGGGCUACACACGUCAUACAAUGGCUGGUACAAAGGGUUGCCAACCCGCGAGGGGGAGCCAAUCCCAUAAAGCCAGUCGUAGUCCGGAUCGUAGUCUGCAACUCGACUACGUGAAGUCGGAAUCGCUAGUAAUCGUGGAUCAGAAUGUCACGGUGAAUACGUUCCCGGGUCUU
RNAcentral lists this ribosomal RNA (460 nucleotides) under uncultured Rhodoferax sp. RNAcentral describes it as "bacterial SSU rRNA". It matches the Rfam family "Bacterial small subunit ribosomal RNA", at positions 923 to 1382 of the family's 1533-position model. Lineage: Bacteria; Pseudomonadati; Pseudomonadota; Betaproteobacteria; Burkholderiales; Comamonadaceae. The record is from RNAcentral.